Molecule: unclassified non-coding RNA, 330 nt
Filed under: Hevea brasiliensis (rubber tree)
Lineage: Eukaryota; Viridiplantae; Streptophyta; Magnoliopsida; Malpighiales; Euphorbiaceae
Source: RNAcentral
CGCAUGUCCAUGCUUCAUUAUUCAAUCUCUGAAUGAUAAUUAUGACUAUGCAUGAGCAGCAUCAACAUGUUUGCCCUCUUUCGCCUCCCGUUCGGCUGCUCUUAGUUUACGCUGCUCCUCCUUAUAAAUACGGUUUCUUCUUUGGAACUCCUUGGAAUGGUGGAGGCACUCGAGGUAAUCUUCACGGAGUAGAGCACAGUCCUUUGGCUCUCGGCAGCGGGACAUACAAUCGCUAAAAUCAAUCCAGAAAUCGUAGCAUCGGCCCUUGUUCCCGGUGAUUCCCCACCCUGACGCCAUCUUCUGAAUCUCUCGAGGUUACCACUGAAUCGG